AAGUCGUAACAAGGUAACCGUAGGUGAACCUGCGGUUGGAUCAUUACUGAUUUACUGGACUGUUCAGGCUGAUGCUCCUUUGUUGAGCUCGCCUGUUCAAUCCUUUCACACUUUGUGCAAUAUAUUGUAUUUUGGGUAGUGGGGAUUUUGUCUCUACUGCCCAGCCAUGUUAAACUUUUGUUAAUUUGUCUGAAUUGUUUAUGUAGUAAACGAUAACAACUUUUGACAACGGAUCUCUUGGUUCUC
Molecule: unclassified non-coding RNA, 246 nt
Filed under: fungal sp.
Lineage: Eukaryota; Fungi
Description: partial internal transcribed spacer region
Rfam family: Eukaryotic small subunit ribosomal RNA (bases 1-46)
Source: RNAcentral